This 823-nucleotide ribosomal RNA is filed under the name Rinodina mniaroeiza. RNAcentral's name for it is "SSU rRNA". It matches the Rfam family "Bacterial small subunit ribosomal RNA", at positions 411 to 1214 of the family's 1533-position model. Lineage: Eukaryota; Fungi; Ascomycota; Lecanoromycetes; Caliciales; Physciaceae. The record is from RNAcentral.
AAAUCUAAGUUGAUGCAAGAUUGACUGUAUCGAAUAAAGUUCUAGGUGGGUUAUGAUGAUGACAUUUCCUAUCUAUGUGUCUUGACCAAAUUACGUGCCAGCAGUCGCGGUAAUACGUAAAAGACUAGUGUUAUUCAUCUUUAAUAGGUUUAAAGGGUACCUAGACGGUAAAUCAAGUCCGAGAAGGAUACUAAUUUGACUAGAGUUUAAUGUGAGGGGGCACUAAAGUACUGAUAAGUGUAGAGAUGAAAUUCUGUGAUACAAUAUACGGCACUGGCAAAGGCGAAAGCAUCCCAUUAUGUAAUAACUGACGUUGAGGGACGAAGGCAUGGUUAGCAAAAAGGAUUAGAUACCCAAGUAGUCUUAGCAGAAAAUUAUGAAUGUCAUAGGAUGGAAAGUUGCAUGGACAAAAAACAAAUUUUAAACAAAUUUGUUGUUCAUCUUCAUCUUCAUGUUCUUGUUCGAACAACAAGAACAUGAAGAUGAAGAAACAAAUUUUUUUUCUAUAAAUGAAAGUGUAAGCAUUCCACCUCGAGAGUAAUUUGGCAACAUUGGAACUGAAAUCAUUAGACCGUUUCUGAAACAAGUAGUGAAGUAUGUUGUUUAAUUUGAUGGUCCGCAAAAAACCUUACCACAAUUUGAAUAGAAAAAUUUUUUUUCAUACAAGCGCUGCACGGUUGUCUUCAGUUAAUGUCGUGAGAUCUUGGUUAGUUCCAUUAAAUUAACGUAAACCCUUACUUUAUUUUUAUAUAGAGUAGUUCACCGCUAGAUUGGAUGAGAUAACAGGGACUAAGACAAGUCAUCAUGGCCUUAUAUUGUGGCU